UGGGGAAUAUUGCACAAUGGGCGAAAGCCUGAUGCAGCAACGCCGCGUGAGGGACGACGGCCUUCGGGUUGUAAACCUCUUUUAGCAAGGAAGAAGCGAAAGUGACGGUACUUGCAGAAAAAAGCGCCGGCUAACUACGUGCCAGCAGCCGCGGUAAUACGUAGGGCGCAAGCGUUAUCCGGAAUUAUUGGGCGUAAAGAGCUCGUAGGCGGUUUGUCGCGUCUGCUGUGAAAAACCCGAGGCUCAACCUCGGGCCUGCAGUGGGUACGGGCAGACUAGAGUGCGGUAGGGGAGAUUGGAACUCCUGGUGUAGCGGUGGAAUGCGCAGAUAUCAGGAAGAACACCGAUGGCGAAGGCAGAUCUCUGGGCCGUAACUGACGCUGAGGAGCGAAAAGGGUGGGGAGCAAAACAGGCUUAGAUACCCUGGUAGUCCACCCCGUAAACGUUGGGAACCUAAGUUGUGGGGUCCAUUCCACGGAUUCCGUGACGCAGCUAACGCAUUAAGUUCCCCGCCUGGGGAGUAACGGCCGCAAAGGCCUAAAAACUGCAAAAUGAAUUGACGGGGUCAUAAGCUGUUUCCU
RNAcentral lists this ribosomal RNA (581 nucleotides) under uncultured bacterium. Its description in RNAcentral is "partial 16S ribosomal RNA". It matches the Rfam family "Bacterial small subunit ribosomal RNA", at positions 355 to 938 of the family's 1533-position model. The record is from RNAcentral.